Molecule: non-coding RNA, 21 nt
Filed under: Caenorhabditis elegans
Lineage: Eukaryota; Metazoa; Nematoda; Chromadorea; Rhabditida; Rhabditidae
Source: RNAcentral
UUUUUUGUGUAUCUCACCUGA